UACGUAGGGUGCAAGCGUUAAUCGGAAUUACUGGGCGUAAAGUGUGCGCAGGCGGCAGAGCAAGUCGAGUGUGAAAGCCCCGAGCUUAACUUGGGAAUUGCGCUCGAAACUACUUUGCUGGAGUGUGGCAGGGGAAGGUGGAAUUCCAGGUGUAGCGGUGAAAUGCGUAGAGAUCUGGAGGAACACCGAUGGCGAAGGCAGCCUUCUGGGCCAACACUGACGCUCAUGCACGAAAGCGUGGGGAGCAAACAGG
RNAcentral lists this ribosomal RNA (253 nucleotides) under uncultured bacterium. Its description in RNAcentral is "partial 16S ribosomal RNA". It matches the Rfam family "Bacterial small subunit ribosomal RNA", at positions 524 to 776 of the family's 1533-position model. The record is from RNAcentral.